GGAUGUGAGGGUGAUCUGGCUGCCACAUGUGUCACCGUAUUGAUCACCAGUGUUGAUUUGGCUGUCCUGGCUGGCUAGGUGUGUAUGCCCAUCCUCUCUCACCGCUCCUCCUGAAGCUGCAUGCUUAGCUGAAGAGAAAAACCUUCCUCCAUACAAGAGGACCAUUUUCUUCAGUCAAUGGUAUAUGAGUACCUGUGCUCCCCUGCUAAACCUCCAAACAAGCUCUCAAGGUCCAUUUGUAGGAGAACGGAAAAGUAGUCAAGCUUCCAAGAUUCUAGACACAUUCAAAUGAGGCAUUAAAUGUGUCAGUCUGCCUUUCAAA
Molecule: non-coding RNA, 322 nt
Organism: Canis lupus familiaris (dog)
Lineage: Eukaryota; Metazoa; Chordata; Mammalia; Carnivora; Canidae
Source: Rfam